GACGAACGCUGGCGGCGUGCUUAACACAUGCAAGUCGAACGGAAAGGCCCCUUUGGGGGUACUCGCGUGGCGAACGAGUGAGUAACAAGUACGUAACCUGCCCUUGACUUCGGGUUAACUACAUGCAACUAGGGCGAAUACCGGAUAGGAAUCCUUUCUGCCUGGUUGGGGGUGGAAGGAUACGGUGGGUUUGGAUGGACUGACGGCUUAUUAGCCUGCUUGUUGGGGAGGUGUUUGCCAAGGAAUUCACGGGUGGGCGGCCUGGGAGGGGGGGCGGCCACAUUGGGACUGAGAUACGGGCCAGACCCCUUCGGGGGGGAGCAGGGGGGAAUAUUGCACAAAGGGCGGAAGCCCGAUGCAGCAACGCCGGGGGCGGGAAGGCGGGCUUCGGGUUGGAAACCGGUUUCAGCAGGGGAGAAGCUUGUGGUGACGGUACCGGCAGAAGAAGCACCGGCUAACUACGUG
Molecule: ribosomal RNA, 465 nt
Filed under: uncultured bacterium
Lineage: Bacteria
Description: partial 16S ribosomal RNA
Rfam family: Bacterial small subunit ribosomal RNA
Source: RNAcentral